Molecule: transfer RNA, 84 nt
Organism: Trametes versicolor FP-101664 SS1
Lineage: Eukaryota; Fungi; Basidiomycota; Agaricomycetes; Polyporales; Polyporaceae
Rfam family: tRNA
About the family: Transfer RNA (tRNA) molecules are approximately 80 nucleotides in length. Their secondary structure includes four short double-helical elements and three loops (D, anti-codon, and T loops). Further hydrogen bonds mediate the characteristic L-shaped molecular structure. tRNAs have two regions of fundamental functional importance: the anti-codon, which is responsible for specific mRNA codon recognition, and the 3' end, to which the tRNAs corresponding amino acid is attached (by aminoacyl-tRNA synthetases). tRNAs cope with the degeneracy of the genetic code in two manners: having more than one tRNA (with a specific anti-codon) for a particular amino acid; and 'wobble' base-pairing, i.e. permitting non-standard base-pairing at the 3rd anti-codon position.
Source: Rfam
GGCCUGGUGGUCUAGUAGUAUGAUUCCUUCUUAGGGCUACGCAGCAUUUGGAGGAGGUCCCGGGUUCAAUUCCCGGCCAGGCCC